RNAcentral lists this ribosomal RNA (378 nucleotides) under Escherichia coli. RNAcentral's name for it is "partial 23S ribosomal RNA". It matches the Rfam family "Bacterial large subunit ribosomal RNA", at positions 612 to 990 of the family's 2925-position model. Lineage: Bacteria; Pseudomonadati; Pseudomonadota; Gammaproteobacteria; Enterobacterales; Enterobacteriaceae. The record is from RNAcentral.
AUAAUGGGUCAGCGACUUAUAUUCUGUAGCAAGGUUAACCGAAUAGGGGAGCCGAAGGGAAACCGAGUCUUAACUGGGCGUUAAGUUGCAGGGUAUAGACCCGAAACCCGGUGAUCUAGCCAUGGGCAGGUUGAAGGUUGGGUAACACUAACUGGAGGACCGAACCGACUAAUGUUGAAAAAUUAGCGGAUGACUUGUGGCUGGGGGUGAAAGGCCAAUCAAACCGGGAGAUAGCUGGUUCUCCCCGAAAGCUAUUUAGGUAGCGCCUCGUGAAUUCAUCUCCGGGGGUAGAGCACUGUUUCGGCAAGGGGGUCAUCCCGACUUACCAACCCGAUGCAAACUGCGAAUACCGGAGAAUGUUAUCACGGGAGACACACG